CGGGGGUCCCGGGUCCGGGGUUGCGCCGGGAGGGUACUGGCCAGGCCCGACUUCAAGCAGGGAGGUGGCCCGGGACUGGCUCCCGCGCUGGUCACGCACCGGGGUCCGUCAUCUCGACCGGGAGUCGCUGUGCCACUCUAGGGGCUUAAAAAUGCCGCCAACAACUUUACCCCUGCUGAGGAACUUCUCGCUUCGUUUCUUAGCCAGUUUUCCAGGCCUUCUCCCUUGAGAGUCUCCUUCCGCUCGCCCACCCUGAGCGUAGGAGGUGGGAGCAGGACGGAACUGGAGUGGAUUCCAGUAACUGGACUUCUAAACCGGCUCGGUGUCGUCGCGCUCUGUAGCGGACGCUUGUGCUGGGAAGCGUUUUGCAGUUUAUAAAUUACUUAGGAGUACUUUAAACAUCUCACGCCUGCUGUACCACAGCCAUGUGGGGGUAUUCAGAACAGGUUUACACUGUUUAUUUAUGACAAACAUUCCAUAUCCAUGAUUCUCUCCUGUCAAACAUGUUUUCAGAUGAUGCCACUGGCCUUGGCCAAUCAGAGAAUGUAGUCAUCUGACUCACCCAUCCUGCAAAUGACCUUGCAGACAGCAUACGUUUUAAACUAGCCAUUAAACCUGCCUGUGACCUUGUCAGCCUCCACCACGUUCAUCUGGAUGGAUGCAUGGUUCUUGGCACCGGUGACGCGGUUACUAGCAGAGACUUUCUGCCGCAUGUACAGGUCCACAAGCUCGCCGCUGUCCUUCUGCAUCUCAAGACUGUGCCUG
RNAcentral lists this long non-coding RNA (765 nucleotides) under Homo sapiens (human). RNAcentral describes it as "non-protein coding lnc-PAQR3-1:2". Lineage: Eukaryota; Metazoa; Chordata; Mammalia; Primates; Hominidae. The record is from RNAcentral.